ACUUUUAAUUUGACAUUAUUACAAAGUGUACUUAAAGAAACAGUCAUGAAAGUGUUUUCUCUUUAAAAAGAUAGUAUUCAGGCAUAAUAGCGGGCAGUUGUCUAUACUGAUUAUUAAAGACUUUGACACAGAGAUGACAAAAUCACUUGUUUUUCUCCUGGCAUCCCUUCUGCUCUGUUCAGGUGAGAUUUGCUCUUGUAUUCGAAGUGAUUCAUAACAAGUGAAAACCCAGAAUUCUGAAUGUUUAAAAAAAAUUGCAGAUGUCAACUGUAAUUUUUAAAAAAUUAAAAUGAAUGAGGGUAGACUUCAGAGUCAAAUUUUCAAUUACUAUUUCACUUGUACAACUUUAGGGAGAUUUAUCACAGAUAAGUGUAUUUUUAAAAUUUUGCUUAAGAAUUUUUUAAUGUAUUUAUUCUCGGUUCAUUUUAAAGAUGUUGUAAUUAAUGUAUUUUCAUUCUUAUUUAAUAACAGUUUAUAUAAACUAUUUCAUAUUUAGACAAGAAUUAAAAACAACGUGUUGUUUUAGAAAUAAUUGUAUUAUACACCAUGAGGAAUGUUUAUGGCAUAUGCAAAUAAACGGAAUUGUUGCCCCGCCAAUUCCUAUAACAUUCUGUGUUCCCUGAUAUGAAUGUGAUUGUCAUUUUUCCCUUUAUGCACCAAAGUACACCAACAUAUUCUGAUUUUCAGGCAUUUCAGAUGUUCAGAUGGGAAUGUCUCAGUACUUUGACCAUCCGAAUCCUGUGAGGGAGAUUGAAAAUUUGUAAAAAAAAAAAAAAAUAAUAAGAAUAAGUGGUUGUACAAGAUUUUUGCAAAAAAAAAAUUGUGUGUGUGUGUGUGUUUUAGUUGGUGUUUUAGUAUAUGUAACUGACACAGUGAACAUCAAACAUUCAUCAAAUACUGAAAAAGUUCACUACAUGUAAAUUUCAAGAAAUAUGUGCUAUGGUAACAGCAAAAACACAUAGAAAAAUAUGCAGAGUUCCAUAGCUAGCUUCAUAAUGUAAUAUGACUAAAAAUAAACAAAAGAUUUGAUUAGCCAAUUCAGAACUAAAUGAAUCCAACAAAAGGACCUGGAAGAAACCUAAUCAUUCAUCAUAAGUCAUCAAAUGUUUACAUGAUAAAUAAUUUCCACUGCAAUGACCUGCACACACACACACACACACACAAAGAUCUGUUCUUACUGAGCUUAGAAGAAUUGUUACAGGAUUUAAGCUAGUAUAUGUUUAUUGUUUAUUGUAUUGUAACACUUUAUGAUUGAUAGGGUUAGAUGAACAUCCUUCUCCUGAACUUUUAGAAUUUAAAAUAAAUAAAAUUUGUAAGAUGUAUCUACUGUUUUACAUGAUACUGCAAUGGAUGCACUUCUUGUAUGGUUUUGUCUCUUUGAUUAAUUGCUUCUGCUGCACUUUUCUAAAGGAAAAACAGUAAAUACAGUUUUUCUAAAAGAAAAAAAAGCCUCUAUCAGAGUAUAAUGCAGACGUUUAGCACUGUGGUGUUGUGGGAUUGCUUCACAUUAUGUCAGCUCCUUUACAGGACAUGAGUAAGCAGUUUAACUCUCCAUGUGAAAAGAACAGCUAACACAUUUUCAGUCAUAAAAAAAAGUCUGCACACUUUAAGUGCAGGCUUACCAUGUUCUCUUUAUGACACUGUUACACAUGCAAGAACUGUCAAUAUCAUUGCGGUGACAUCAAUGGCUUGAUAUAAUUAUCUUCCUAAUCACACUGCAGUGACUUCAUCGGCCUGAUUUCAUAAACUUUCAUAAGACAGUAGUGUACUCAGUUACAAUGGUGUCACACAGUUGGUUUAUACACUACACUGGUCAGUUGUGGCUUUUCUUACUGAAGGGGAGAAAAAUUGAGUGUGAGAGAGAGAGAGAGAGAGAGGCUGGUGAAUAAAAUAAAAAGGAAAUUGAGAAAGAAUCAGUAUCCGAUUAUUUUAAAAGUAUAUGAAACCAUGUUACCAAGCAUAUAUUUUGUUUUUCUGAUCUCUUGCUCAGGUAAGAUCCAAUUGCAAUAUUCCUGAAAAUAUUGGGCCUGUGGAAAGUAUUUGAUUUACUGUAUAUACUAUGUUAUGAGAACCUUAUCAACAUUCAGUUUAUGUGAAAGAUUUAUGAAUGAUUUUAUCAUUUUCUUGUCUUGAAAAGCCCUAGCAAAGAGUGAAGCUCUUUCAGUUUGGUGGGAUCCAGAGAUGCCUUCACAUUCUGAAACCUUAAACAGUUUGAUGGACGGCUAUGGAAAUGACUUACCGAAAAUUCGGCCAAACAUCAUCUUUUGUUGUGUGUGCCAAGAGGCUAUAAAGCGGGCUAAGACCGCAGUCUAUCAGAAGAUGCAACAGAAGAUAAAUGAUGUCUGUAACAAAUUCAUAAAGGAUUUUCGAAACAUCUGCCUUCAACGUGCAGAGAGAUAUCGGGACAUCAUACUGCACAAGCUCUUCCCUGGUGGGAGCCCAAGGGGAACAUGUUUUAAGAUAAAGUUAUGCUCAUAACAACUGUGCUGGUGGCUGUUGAAGGGAUACAUAUACAUGUUACUACCUCAUUUUAAAUGUCUUUACAUUAACAAAGCUGUUUUUCAUUAUUUCAUUCAGAAAAUGCAGUUAAAUGCCUUUAAAGUCAAAAAUGCCUUUAAAAUGUUCUAAUAGAUGGAUGUUUAUUGUACUGAAAAUAAUCUACUGAGUUUUUUUUUUUUUUUUUGGGGGGGGGGGGGGGUCCUCUGUAAGGUGUAAGAUUGUGUUGUUUUACAUUAAAUACGCAUUAACAAUCUAAUCAUUUUCAUGUGAUUUUCUCAUUCUGGUUGUUUUCUUCAUUUAGCCAAGCCAUGCCAAAACAGAUAAUGUUUGAACUCCAAUAAUUAAUGUCAUAAUAGCCAAAUGAUUUGUA
Molecule: long non-coding RNA, 2869 nt
Organism: Cyprinus carpio (common carp)
Lineage: Eukaryota; Metazoa; Chordata; Actinopteri; Cypriniformes; Cyprinidae
Exons: 3
Source: RefSeq, a predicted model, not a curated record